This 7217-nucleotide long non-coding RNA is filed under the name Brassica napus (rape). RNAcentral's name for it is "long non-coding RNA (BNAP_LNC000547)". Lineage: Eukaryota; Viridiplantae; Streptophyta; Magnoliopsida; Brassicales; Brassicaceae. The record is from RNAcentral.
GGGUAAGAGCCAUAAAGAAGAGUCUAGCUAGUACUUGGUGGUGUGGACCAUAAGUACUGAGCUUGGGUGUUAUUAUUCAAGGAAGGCCGUGUGUGAUCUGAUCACGGGUAAGGAUGAACGACCUGAUCCAUAGAUGAUAGGUCAAGGUGUCUGAUCUGAUUGAUCAAAGGAUGCACCGGUUGUAAGAGCAGUUGUGAUUGGCUUUGUUGGGACAUGGUUCCAUGGCCGGUUAGGUAUGUGAGAAGACUCAUCAGUUCUGGGUCAUGUGGGGUGGUUGGUUCAUUGACUUAGGAUCUGAUGGGCAUUUUUGGUCCAUAAGAUGGACUUGGUAUCAUAUGCUGAUAAGCGAAAGGUUGUUAAAUGAAGCAUGAGCCGGGAAGGGCCAAAUGCAUGUCCUUAGCUGUUUGAAGACUUCUCAAGGGUUACUUAAGUCUUUGGGGAUGGUUGGCUGAAUGACUAAGUACCUAGGGGAUUUGUUUUAUGUGUAAAGAAGCUGGACGCAAUAUAUGGCAGCUGGCCAUAGCUCGGACUUAGCUCAGUUCGAGUGUGACAGCUCGAUCAGCUGGUUUACGUGUUCAUUCAGCUAAAGCAGCUGGGCCGAUGAGCUAACAAGCUCCGUGGAUGUGCCUAAGGUAUGAUCUAGUAACUCUUGCUUAGUUCUAGAUAGAAUGGACUAGGGGAAUGUAACCUCAGAUUCGUAUGACUUGAUUCGGGUCUAGGAUCGACCUUUGAGCUAGCUUGUAGUUGAGAGUACUAACCAUUAGCUGAGGUGAUUCGACCGGACAAGUAUUAGAUUGGUUACAGACCAAUGGAUGAUGAUAUCAUUCCGCUGCGUAUGUGUUGUAUUGAUAUAAGCAAGGAAAGACUAUGGUAGUCUUGGGCUAAGAUCUGAGUUAGCCCUCGCCUAUGGGCGAUGUUUUAAUUAAUGGGCGAAAAUUUUGAGAGGUUCGGUCAGGGUAUGGACCGAGCGACGUGAGGCAUCAACCGCUGCCUAGUCGGCCGGGAUCGGGUCUUACAAGUUGGUAUCAGAGCAUGCUUGAUCAUGUUAAGGACAGUGCUCAAAGAUGUUGAGUUCCAAACCGAAAUUAUUUCUGAAAACUGAGAGGACUUGGAACCUUAGUUGUGGUGAGCCAAGUGGGAGUUGAGGUAAGAUUGGGUUUCAUGCUUGUGAACGGGGAAGUUCCUAGAUGAGCCGGCUUAGCCAAGAUGCACUCUCCAAGGGCAAGACCCUGAAACAGAAAGGUUAGUUUUCUAGUUAUUUGGAAGUAAUAGACGGAUUGGACGAUGGACGCAAUGCAAGAUCUUUGUAUGGACGACCUGGACAAGGGAAGUAACAUUAACCAAAGAGUGGCUUAGGUUGAAAGAUACGUGCAGCACUCUCUUGGAGGUUAGUGUUAUUCCUUGGUGGUCGUUCCAAACAAGUGAGCAUAUGCAGUGUUCAUGUUGGUUAAGGGAGACGCUACAUGGCUAGUACAUGAGUGGGCUUGUGAUCAGAUGGAUCAGCUUGGACUCAGUAUAAGUCAAGGUAGGAUUCCUUAAGAUUGAGUGAAUGGAAUGGAUCAAUUCAGGAGGAAAUGGGAAACACGAUGUUAAGUAUCUUAGUAUGAUGAGGAUUGAGGUAUACUAUAAACACUUUUGUGAAUGGUAUGGGACGUUCACAGAAGUGUGAUGCUUUGGAGAAUGGUAUGGGACGUUUUCCAAAUGAGUGAUCAAACCGAGAUCCUACUCAUCUAAGUACUUAAUGAUCGGUGGUGUGGAAACACAUGUACUUUUCGAUACUGGAGCUACACAUAGUGUUGUGAGUCCAGGAAUGGUCGGAAAGGGUUUGUUCCAGAUGGAAACAUGGGAUUGUCUUGUCAUAGUGAAUACGGCCAGUUGGCAGGUGAUGGAUUCACUAGGGCUGGUUAGAGACAUCCCGGUAUUCUCAGACAGGGUAAUGCCUGCGGAUCUGAUUGUUGAUCAUAGACAGGGUAAUACCUGCGGAUCUGAUUGUUGUCCGCCUUGAGAAUCACGAGGUGAUAUUAGGCAUGGACUGGUUUGGACAGAAUCGGGCCACCUUGGACUGUCACCGGGGUAUGGUGCAGUUUAAGAGUGGGUGUUAUAACACCCCGAUCCGGCCGACUAGGCCGUGGUCGAAGUCUUAUGUCGCUUGGUCCACUUCCUGGCCGAACCUCUUAAUUUUUUUGCCCUUUAUUUAUAAUAUCGCCUAAAGGCGAGGGCUAACUUAGAUCUUAGCUAAAGACUCCCCUAGUCAUUAAUAGCCUAGAUCAUUUCAACAGAUACGCAGCAGAUUAUUCUCUAGUUAACCAUUGGUCGAAAACAAAUCUAAGACUUGUCUGGUCGAAUCACCUUAGCCUUGGUCAGUUUACUCAACUACCAAUUAGCUUAAAAGUCAAUCCUAAACCCAAACCAAGCCAUACGAUUCUGAGGUUCCAUUCCCCUAAACCAUUCUAUCUAGAUCUAGAUAAGUAAAUACUAGAUCAUACCUUUGCCGCAUCUACGGAGCUUAUUAGCUCAUCGGUCCUCCAGUGACUCGAAUUGCUCUUACUUGACAGCUGGACCAUGAUCAAUCAAUGAUCUUACUUAUGGUCCUUAUCGGGACUCCUGCAUCAAACAACUCCCCUAGGUACUUAGUCAUUCAACAAACCAUCCCACAGACAUAAGUAACCUUUGAGAAGUCUUUGUAAGGAUAAGGAUAUACAUCUGGCCUUUCUUGGCUCAUGCACAAUCCGAUAUCCUUUUGCCUUAUAGGCAAUAGUACCAAGUCCAUCUUCUGGACUGACAAAGCUCAUUAGAUCCUAAGUCCAUCAACCAACCUUCCUCACAUGACUUGGAACUGAUGAGUCAUCAUCUGGCCUGAUCGGCCUUGGGACUUAACCCAGACAGCAGAUAUGACUUGUUCAUACCAACAGAUGCAUUCAUUAAUCAGGUUAAGACCGACACCUUGAACAAUCAUUCAGAGGUCAGGUCGUCCAUACUCAUACAUGAUCAGAUCUUACACGGCCUUCCUUGAACAAUCACACUUAGGCUUAGUACCUAUGGUCUACGACACAUAGUACUAGCCAUACACUUCGUCAUGACUCUUAGCCAAUCUCGAAGCUAUCAACACCAAGUUGAUAUCUAGAAGCAUCACAUCAAUACUCUUACUCCGGCAAUGUGACUAUCCAUACUAGUGCUCGGCCAUCAAACCAUCUUCAUGAAACAUGAUCCAACCACUAGACUUGAUAAGCCAUCGUCCACUUAGCAUGUACUGAUAUAACCGGCCUUCCAUUGCCAUCUUGUGGGUCUACCCCCUACAUAAGGCAUAUGGCGCCUAUCCUACUCACCAACCCGAGGUUGAUUGUAAGAUAUCCCACUUAGCCUUUGCGGCCAGAACCAUCCAACCAUAGUUGGAUCGUCCAUAGUCCCGUCUAACGUCUGGUUAAGAUGAUCGGCCAGUUAUAAGUCCGGCCCAAAGGCUCACGGACCUUCUUACCUGAUCCAACCCAAAGCCUGGAUCCAUACCACAUAGUAAGGCCCAAGAGCAAACCGGAUUGACUUGCAACCAAUCAGACCUUGCGACACAACACUCCGGUUAAAUUAACCGUCCGUCCGUUCGACUAUGCAGCCGCGGACUGUCCACUUGGUUCGGCCUAAGCCUUGAACCAAUGGCACCAUUUGGAACUCACACCCUUUGGGAACUAGUACCCUUUGGACACACGUGCCUCUUGGCAACUCAUGACCCUUGGCAACUCACACCCAUUCAGAUGUUCCAACCGUUCGACCUAACCGUCCAUGGGAAUGUCUGGUCCGUGCGUGUGUCCGGCCUAUGGCCAAAGGACCACGUCUUAACCUACACAAGUCGCGAACCAUUUUGACUGUUCAGGGAAGUGUUGCAACCGUUCAGAACCGAACAGAACCGCCCAUAUCCAAUCGGAUCACCUGAGGCUGGUUUAGACCAUGCGCGCGCCUAACUCGACGGUUAUGGAUCGCGACCGCAUUACUCAACCAGAACCACGGUUAUAACCAAUCCCAACAUAUCCACAAGUCCACGCCAAUGUACAGAAGGAGUAGAAGAAGAAUUAGAUGAAAAGAAUAAGAAGAAUGGGACACAAUCCAAACGUCCAUGGCUAGACCGGUUCGGACUGCCCGAUGGUCUUAGCCGAUGAGUCGGUGGUUACCCCACUGACCCUAUUGGAUUGAACCACGGCUUUGGAGUCCUUCUCCAGACCUUUCUCUAUACGCUGGGUAUUCAUAACCACACGGCCUCCUCUCUCCUAAACCGUUCUCCUUGCCGGAGGUACUAAACCACCACAACCGACCCUUUUCCGGCCGAUCUCUCUCUCUCUCCCUCUCUAUUUGGCGUCUGCCUUUUGUUUCUCACGAAACUGAUUGAAUGCCUUGAUCUCUGGUCGUGCAUCCUUUAUAUAGGCAACCAAAGGUCAUGUUCGAAGAGUCACAUACCUUCGAAGCAUCCUUCUGGGACAGAUCUUGGCCAUCGAUUACAAUCAACGGUCCAGAUCGUACCUGUUCGGAUAUAGAAGGCUCCAGACCUUCUAGGCACGUCCAAACCAAGAGCAGAGUUGGUACUCAAGCCCACAGCCUGCCCACAAGAGUCCAACGACUAAUUGACCUCAUGGCCGGACCUCAUGGCCCGCCACUGACCCGGAUCCGGACCAUCGGCCCGAAACCCGAACAGUCCGUCAAGCUGAGAUGAGCUGAAUCCCAGCAGCCUCAGCUGAUUGAGCUAGUAGCCCAGCUAUUGGAGCUGACCUAGUAGUGUCCGAGCUCGAGUGAGCUUAACCUAGCAUCGUUGAGCUAGUCGAGCUACCCGUUCACUUCGUCCAGCUAUCAUCUUACGCGUACUAGCUGACUUCUCUCUCUUAUAAGGUUAAGUCUCAGCAUCCUUACGUCCUUAACCUUCUAUCUUGGCCAUGGAACGCCUUCCUUAAGGUCCUAAGAUCCAUGAUUGGGGGCAUGACAGGUGUGGACCCCUGAUCAGGUUCCAAGGCUUGGAAAGAAUUGGGCCACUCUGGACUGUCACAGAGGAAGGGUGCAGUUUUAGAGUGGGUGUAAACCCCCGAUCAGGUUCCAAGGUAUUCCUCCGACCUCUGGAUGCUUAGUGAUAUCAGAAAUCCAAGUGGAAAGGAUGCUUGAGAAGGGUUGUGAGGCUUAUUGGCCACAAUCGCCACUAAGAAGGUUCAAGAGGCUGGUGACCCGGACGGGAUUCUGCUGGUUAGUGAGUUCGAGGACGUGUUUCGGGCGCUACAGGGCAUCCCCCUGGUAGGGCUGACCCACUAAUAGCAGAACCAGAACCAUGGACGGCCCCAAUGUCCAAAAGUCCAUAUCGUAUAGCUCCUGCCGAGAUGGCCGAGCUGAAGUCGACCCCGUCCAAGAAGGGACCUGGGUCGCAGCACAACCAAGUCAGAGAUGGACAUAUGGUUGGAGUGAGACGGUUGAGUCCCGAAGAGACCAGGACCGCAAUAUGAUCAAGUCCAGUAAGGGAUGAGGAUCAGGAAACAACCUAUUCGGAGAUGGGCCUAUGGUCGGAUUGAAACGGUUGAGUCCCUGAGUGGACCAGGACCAGAAUGUGAUCGAGUCCAUGAAGGACCAGGAUCGAAUUGUGACAAAGUCCAGUACUGGACAUAGUCAAGAUGAGGCGGGUUAGUCUUGUAGGGACUAAGAUCGCAGUAUGGCCAAGCUGGGAAAUGCUGUGACUGGUUAAGGAAUGACCCAGUAAUUGGUGGCUGGUAUCAUAAACCUUAGUGUCCGGGAAGGACUUAAAGAAACAUAACAAUCUGUUAGGACUCAUGGUAGAGUGACAGCCUAAAGAUUGGAACAUGUUCGCUAGGACUUGGCUGGUGCAUCGAGUGGCUUUGAGAUUUGUUGAAUCUACUAAUACUUGAAUACUCAGUAUGUUCCUAGGGACUGAAUUUGAUCUAGUCAUGGAACUAAAGUGUUCUACAAGGACUUGGUGUCUACUAGGAACGCAACCUGGAGAGAUGGGUUAGUGACACAAGUCAUGACUUUGUAUGGAUGCUUGAUGGACCACUUGAUAAAAUUUUGGGUUAAAUCUCUAUCAAGUGGGGGAGACUUGUACAUAUGGUGAUCAAGACGUUAUCAGUGAGAAGGAACAAGGAGGGAGAUGCAAUAAAUUGGUUAGGAAGAACCAAUCGAGCACUGAGCCAUGGCAUUGGCCGGUUGAAGAAUGAUGUCCAUGGCCUUAGCCGGGCUGUUCUUGAUCGAGAUCUAUAUGUUCUGGAUCUGUUCUUUGGAAUAUGAUUAUGGGAAUCUUUUAGUUAUGAAUUAUCAUGAGUUUUCAUGAAUCUUAAUCAGUUUUUAGGAAUUGAUUUGAUGAUGUCCACUUUGGGCCGGUUUGGCUGAUCUUGGCCGAGAUCUCUAGGAUCGAGGCUGGUUCUGCAUAUUCUGAUAAUGGCAUUCUCUUAGUUGGGUAUUAUCAUGAAUUUACAUGAAUUUUAUUUAGUUUUUUGGAUCACAUUUGAAAUCGGCCAGAUUUGGGUUUAAUGAGAAAUUGAUCGAUUAGUUAUGGAACCAGCCAUGUAAUGAUAGAUCCUAGUGUUAGGUUAUCGGAUCAUAUGCUUGUGUAUUGUGAAAUGUUUGUCACUUAUGAUUAUUGAUCAUAAGGAAUGUUAGUUAUCAAACUUGGGUUGGUAAGCUAUGUGCAAGGAUUGGCUAAGAGCUAUAAAGAAGAGUCUAGCUAGUAUUUGGUGGUGUGGACCAUAAGUACUGAGCUUGGGUGUUAUUAUUCAAGGAAGGCCGUGUGUGAUCUGAUCAUGGGUAAGGAUGGACGACCUGAUCCAUAGAUGAUAGGUCAAGGUGUCUGAUCGGAUUGAUCAAAGGAUGCACCAGUCGUAAGAGCAGUUGUGAUCGGCUUCGUUGGGACAUGGUUCCAUGGCCGGUUAGGUAUGUGAAAAGACUCAUCAGUUCUGGGUCAUGUGGGGUGGUUGGUUGAUUGAUUUAGGAUCUGAUGGGCAUUUUUGGACCAUAAGAUGUACUUGGUAUCAUAAGCUGAUAAGCGAAAGGUAUUUGAAUGAAGCAUGAGCCGGGAAGGGCCAAAUGCAUGUCCUUAGCUGUUUGAAGACUUCUCAAGGGUUACUUAAGUCAGUGGGGAUGGUUGGCUGAAUGACUAAGUACCUUGGGGAGUUGUUUUAUGUGUAAAGAAGCUGGAUACAGUAUAUGGCAGCUGGCCAUAGCUCGGACUUAGCUCAGUUCGAGUG